Molecule: transfer RNA, 101 nt
Filed under: Candidatus Caldarchaeum subterraneum
Lineage: Archaea; Thermoproteati; Nitrososphaerota; Candidatus Caldarchaeales; Candidatus Caldarchaeaceae
Description: Candidatus Caldiarchaeum subterraneum tRNA
Rfam family: tRNA
About the family: Transfer RNA (tRNA) molecules are approximately 80 nucleotides in length.
Source: Rfam by way of RNAcentral
GGGGGCGUAGCCGAGCAAGGCCAAGGCGUCGGGCUCCAGAUCAAAACAGCUGGUCAAGAGGCGACACCCGAAGACCGUGGGUUCAAGUCCCACCGCCCCCA